UCGCGAAAACUCCGCAAUACACGAAAGUGUGACGGGGCCAUCCCGAGUGCCGUCCGCUGAGGACGGCUUUUCCCUAGUGUACACAGCUGGGGGAAUAAGGAGAGGGCAAGCCUGGUGUCAGCCGCCGCGGUAAUACCAGCUCUCCGAGUGGUGGGGACGCUUAUUGGGCCUAAAGCAUCCGUAGCCGGCUGGGCAAGUCCUCCGUUAAAUCCAACGAUUCAAUCGUUGGGCUGCGGGGGAUACUGUCCAGCUUGGGGGCGGGAGAGGCCGACGGUAUUCCCGGGGUAGGGGUGAAAUCCUAUAAUCCCGGGAGGACCACCAGUGGCGAAGGCUGUCGGCUAGAACGCGCCCGACGGUGAGGGAUGAAAGCUGGGGGAGCGAACCGGAUUAGAUACCCGGGUAGUCCCAGCUGUAAACGAUGCAGGCUAGGUGUCAGAACGGCCACGAGCCGUUCUAGUGCCGCAGGGAAGCCGUUAAGCCUGCCGCCUGGGGAGUACGGCCGCAAGGCUGAAACUUAA
RNAcentral lists this ribosomal RNA (518 nucleotides) under uncultured archaeon. Its description in RNAcentral is "SSU rRNA". It matches the Rfam family "Archaeal small subunit ribosomal RNA", at positions 339 to 859 of the family's 1478-position model. The record is from RNAcentral.